GAUGAACGCUGGCGGCGUGCCUAAUACAUGCAAGUCGAGCGAACAGAUGAGGAGCUUGCUCCUCUGACGUUAGCGGCGGACGGGUGAGUAACACGUGGAUAACCUACCUAUAAGACUGGGAUAACUUCGGGAAACCGGAGCUAAUACCGGAUAAUAUAUUGAACCGCAUGGUUCAAUAGUGAAAGACGGUUUUGCUGUCACUUAUAGAUGGAUCCGCGCCGCAUUAGCUAGUUGGUAAGGUAACGGCUUACCAAGGCAACGAUGCGUAGCCGACAUGAGAGGAUGAGCAGCCACAAUGGAACUGAGACACGGUCCAGACUCCUACGGGAGGCAGCAGUGGGGAAUAUUGGACAAUGGGCGCAAGCCUGAUGCAGCAAUACCGCGUGAGUGAAGAAGGUCUUAGGGUUGUAAAGCUCUGUUGUUGGGAAAGAAAAAAUUCAGGAUAAUACCCUGGGAGGAUGACGGUACCAAAUGAAUAAGCAACGGCUAACUUCGUG
RNAcentral lists this ribosomal RNA (497 nucleotides) under uncultured bacterium. RNAcentral describes it as "partial 16S ribosomal RNA". It matches the Rfam family "Bacterial small subunit ribosomal RNA", at positions 28 to 507 of the family's 1533-position model. The record is from RNAcentral.